CCCGGGGGAAGGUUUACCGGACCCGGGGCGGGACGCGGCCUAGUGGCGGACGGGUGAGUAACGCGUGGGCAAUCUGCCCCUACCGGGGGAUAACACCUGGAAACAGGUGCUAACACCGCAUGACAGGCGGGGGCGCAUGCCCCGGCCUUGAAAACUCCGGUGGUACGGGAUGAGCCCGCGUCCGAUUAGCCAGUUGGCGGGGUAACGGCCCACCAAAGCGACGAUCGGUAGCCGGCCUGAGAGGGUGGACGGCCACAUUGGGACUGAGACACGGCCCAAACUCCUACGGGAGGCAGCAG
Molecule: ribosomal RNA, 299 nt
Filed under: uncultured bacterium
Lineage: Bacteria
Description: partial 16S ribosomal RNA
Rfam family: Bacterial small subunit ribosomal RNA (bases 48-292)
Source: RNAcentral